UACGUAGGGUGCGAGCGUUAAUCGGAAUUACUGGGCGUAAAGCGUGCGCAGGCGGUUGUGUAAGACAGAUGUGAAAUCCCCGGGCUUAACCUGGGAACUGCAUUUGUGACUGCACGGCUGGAGUGCGGCAGAGGGGGAUGGAAUUCCGCGUGUAGCAGUGAAAUGCGUAGAUAUGCGGAGGAACACCAGUGGCGAAGGCGGCACCCUGGACCAGCACUGACACUGAGGCACGAAAGCGUGGGGAGCAAACAGG
This 253-nucleotide ribosomal RNA is filed under the name uncultured bacterium. RNAcentral's name for it is "partial 16S ribosomal RNA". It matches the Rfam family "Bacterial small subunit ribosomal RNA", at positions 524 to 776 of the family's 1533-position model. The record is from RNAcentral.